GGGAUGACGUCAAGUCCUCAUGGCCCUUAUGUGUUGGGCUACACACGUGCUACAAUGGUAUUUACAGUGGGAUGCAAAGAGGCAACUCCAAGCUAACCCCUAAAGAAUACCUCAGUUCGGAUUGUACUCUGCAACUCGAGUACAUGAAGCUGGAAUUACUAGUAAUCGCGGAUCAGCGCGCCGCGGUGAAUACGUUCCCGGGUCUUGUACACACCGCCCGUCACACCAUGGAAGUUGGUUACACCUUAAGGCAAAGUGUAAAAUCUUUGACUACGGUACGAUCAGCGACUGGGGUGAAGUCGUAACAAGGUAGCCGUAGGGGAACCUGCGGCUGGAUCACCUCCUUUCUAAGGAAAUCGAAAAAUAUUAAAUCAAUUAUUUUCGAUUUAAAAAAAACCGGUAAUGUGACCGUCCUCAUUUCUCUUCUUUUAGUGUCUCUGAGUAAAAGUGAUGUAAGGGGGCCGGUAGCUCAGUUGGUUAGAGCGCACCCCUGAUAAGGGUGAGGUCGGAAGUUCGAGUCUUCCUCGGCCCACCAAUAUUAUGGGGGAUUAGCUCAGCUGGGAGAGCGCCUGAUUUGCAUUCAGGAGGCCAGCGGUUCGAUCCCGCUAUCCUCCACCAAAGUUUGAGACAUUUAGCUUUUUUAAAUUGUGAAUAUUAUUAAUAUUAUCAAUAUCUAUAUCCGAUUAUUUUCAGAUAUUUUUUUGAAAAUAAUCAAAACAAAAAUUUGAAUUUUACACAGAAAGUUUUUUUCUGUGCAUAAAUCAAGCGUUUAAGGGCGAUUGGCGGAUGCCUUGGCACUGUAAGACGAUGAAGGACGUGGUAUACUGCGAUAAG
RNAcentral lists this small RNA (834 nucleotides) under uncultured bacterium. Its description in RNAcentral is "bacterial SSU rRNA". The stretch from base 1 to 347 matches the Rfam family "Bacterial small subunit ribosomal RNA", at positions 1176 to 1533 of the family's 1533-position model. The record is from RNAcentral.